This 965-nucleotide ribosomal RNA is filed under the name Lactiplantibacillus plantarum. RNAcentral describes it as "bacterial SSU rRNA". It matches the Rfam family "Bacterial small subunit ribosomal RNA", at positions 71 to 1010 of the family's 1533-position model. The record is from RNAcentral. Lineage: Bacteria; Bacillati; Bacillota; Bacilli; Lactobacillales; Lactobacillaceae.
GAUUGGUGCUUGCAUCAUGAUUUACAUUUGAGUGAGUGGCGAACUGGUGAGUAACACGUGGGAAACCUGCCCAGAAGCGGGGGAUAACACCUGGAAACAGAUGCUAAUACCGCAUAACAACUUGGACCGCAUGGUCCGAGUUUGAAAGAUGGCUUCGGCUAUCACUUUUGGAUGGUCCCGCGGCGUAUUAGCUAGAUGGUGGGGUAACGGCUCACCAUGGCAAUGAUACGUAGCCGACCUGAGAGGGUAAUCGGCCACAUUGGGACUGAGACACGGCCCAAACUCCUACGGGAGGCAGCAGUAGGGAAUCUUCCACAAUGGACGAAAGUCUGAUGGAGCAACGCCGCGUGAGUGAAGAAGGGUUUCGGCUCGUAAAACUCUGUUGUUAAAGAAGAACAUAUCUGAGAGUAACUGUUCAGGUAUUGACGGUAUUUAACCAGAAAGCCACGGCUAACUACGUGCCAGCAGCCGCGGUAAUACGUAGGUGGCAAGCGUUGUCCGGAUUUAUUGGGCGUAAAGCGAGCGCAGGCGGUUUUUUAAGUCUGAUGUGAAAGCCUUCGGCUCAACCGAAGAAGUGCAUCGGAAACUGGGAAACUUGAGUGCAGAAGAGGACAGUGGAACUCCAUGUGUAGCGGUGAAAUGCGUAGAUAUAUGGAAGAACACCAGUGGCGAAGGCGGCUGUCUGGUCUGUAACUGACGCUGAGGCUCGAAAGUAUGGGUAGCAAACAGGAUUAGAUACCCUGGUAGUCCAUACCGUAAACGAUGAAUGCUAAGUGUUGGAGGGUUUCCGCCCUUCAGUGCUGCAGCUAACGCAUUAAGCAUUCCGCCUGGGGAGUACGGCCGCAAGGCUGAAACUCAAAGGAAUUGACGGGGGCCCGCACAAGCGGUGGAGCAUGUGGUUUAAUUCGAAGCUACGCGAAGAACCUUACCAGGUCUUGACAUACUAUGCAAAUCUAAGAGAUUAG